UACGUAGGGGGCAAGCGUUGUCCGGAAUCAUUGGGCGUAAAGCGCGUGUAGGCGGUCCGGUAAGUCCGCUGUGAAAGUCGGGGGCUCAACCCUCGGAUGCCGGUGGAUACUGUCGGGCUAGAGUGCGGAAGAGGCGAGUGGAAUUCCUGGUGUAGCGGUGAAAUGCGCAGAUAUCAGGAGGAACACCGAUGGCGAAGGCAGGUCACUGGGCCGCAACUGACGCUGAGGAGCGAAAGCAUGGGGAGCGAACAGG
RNAcentral lists this ribosomal RNA (253 nucleotides) under uncultured bacterium. Its description in RNAcentral is "partial 16S ribosomal RNA". It matches the Rfam family "Bacterial small subunit ribosomal RNA", at positions 524 to 776 of the family's 1533-position model. The record is from RNAcentral.